This is a long non-coding RNA of Ipomoea triloba (trilobed morning glory), 522 nucleotides long. RefSeq lists it as uncharacterized. The record is from RefSeq and is a predicted model, not a curated record. Lineage: Eukaryota; Viridiplantae; Streptophyta; Magnoliopsida; Solanales; Convolvulaceae. The transcript has 2 exons.
CUUCCUAGCUCAUACAACAAAAAGAAGAAGAAAAAGAUCAAAAUGGCUCUUACAAAACUCAACAAAGUGGCCUUUGUUGCUCUCCUUGUCUGCUUCAUCCUCAUUGCAUCAUAUGAAACACAAAUGGUUGAAGCAAAGAAUUGUAUGAAACACAAAAGUUGGGACGGCAGCUGCCCCAUGAUGAAAUGCAAGAGUUGGUGCAAAGGCAUGGGGGGCUACAAGUGGUAUUGUAAGAGUAAACAAUGCUACUGCGAAUAUAAGUGUGGUAGUUAAAUGGGAAUAUUUUUAUCUUGCACUAUUUUCAUACCACCAAAGUAGUGCAUCAUAAUAUAAAUCUUACUCUAUCAUGUAAUAAAAAUAAAUAAAUGUUGCUACAUACAAAUGACUCGAGUCAUUUUGUCACAGAGCAACAAUUGUGUGUUGUAAAAUGUACACGUGACACUAGUUGUGUGUAUUUUAAUGUGUGUUGUGUGAUGAAUACUAUCAUUACUAUAUGUAUAAUGAGCCGUAUUUGAGUUUUAA